UACGUAGGGGGCAAGCGUUAUCCGGAAUCACUGGGCGUAAAGGGUGCGUAGGUGGUUCCUCAAGUCAGAAGUGAAAGGCAGUGGCUUAACUACUGUAAGCUUUUGAAACUGAGGAACUUGAGUGCAGGAGAGGUAAGUGGAAUUCCUAGUGUAGCGGUGAAAUGCGUAGAUAUUAGGAGGAACACCAGUGGCGAAGGCGACUUACUGGACUGUAACUGACACUGAGGCACGAAAGCGUGGGGAGC
RNAcentral lists this ribosomal RNA (245 nucleotides) under uncultured Eubacteriales bacterium. RNAcentral's name for it is "uncultured Clostridiales bacterium partial 16S ribosomal RNA". It matches the Rfam family "Bacterial small subunit ribosomal RNA", at positions 524 to 769 of the family's 1533-position model. The record is from RNAcentral. Lineage: Bacteria; Bacillati; Bacillota; Clostridia; Eubacteriales.